Molecule: ribosomal RNA, 464 nt
Filed under: Vreelandella stevensii
Lineage: Bacteria; Pseudomonadati; Pseudomonadota; Gammaproteobacteria; Oceanospirillales; Halomonadaceae
Description: partial 16S ribosomal RNA
Rfam family: Bacterial small subunit ribosomal RNA
Source: RNAcentral
CCUACGGGAGGCAGCAGUGGGGAAUAUUGGACAAUGGGCGAAAGCCUGAUCCAGCCAUGCCGCGUGUGUGAAGAAGGCCUUCGGGUUGUAAAGCACUUUCAGUGGGGAAGAAAGCCUUGGGGCUAAUACCCUCGAGGAAGGACAUCACCCACAGAAGAAGCACCGGCUAACUCCGUGCCAGCAGCCGCGGUAAUACGGAGGGUGCGAGCGUUAAUCGGAAUUACUGGGCGUAAAGCGCGCGUAGGCGGUCUGAUAAGCCGGUUGUGAAAGCCCCGGGCUCAACCUGUGAACGGCAUCCGGAACUGUCAGGCUAGAGUGCAGGAGAGGAAGGUAGAAUUCCCGGUGUAGCGGUGAAAUGCGUAGAGAUCGGGAGGAAUACCAGUGGCGAAGGCGGCCUUCUGGACUGACACUGACGCUGAGGUGCGAAAGCGUGGGUAGCAAACAGGAUUAGAUACCCCAGUAGC